GAUGAACGCUGGCGGCGUGCCUAAUACAUGCAAGUCGAGCGAACGGACGAGAAGCUUGCUUCUCUGAUGUUAGCGGCGGACGGGUGAGUAACACGUGGAUAACCUACCUAUAAGACUGGGAUAACUUCGGGAAACCGGAGCUAAUACCGGAUAAUAUUUUGAACCGCAUGGUUCAAAAGUGAAAGACGGUCUUGCUGUCACUUAUAGAUGGAUCCGCGCUGCAUUAGCUAGUUGGUAAGGUAACGGCUUACCAAGGCAACGAUGCAUAGCCGACCUGAGAGAGUGAUCGGCCACACUGGAACUGAGACACGGUCCAGACUCCUACGGGAGGCAGCAGUAGGGAAUCUUCCGCAAUGGGCGAAAGCCUGACGGAGCAACGCCGCGUGAGUGAUGAAGGUCUUCGGAUCGCAAAACUCUGUUAUUAGGGAAGAACAUAUGUGUAAGUAACUGUGCACAUCUUGACGGUACCUAAUCAGAAAGCCACGGCUAACUACGUG
Molecule: ribosomal RNA, 497 nt
Filed under: uncultured bacterium
Lineage: Bacteria
Description: partial 16S ribosomal RNA
Rfam family: Bacterial small subunit ribosomal RNA
Source: RNAcentral